Molecule: long non-coding RNA, 2288 nt
Organism: Papaver somniferum (opium poppy)
Lineage: Eukaryota; Viridiplantae; Streptophyta; Magnoliopsida; Ranunculales; Papaveraceae
Exons: 6
Source: RefSeq, a predicted model, not a curated record
UUCAAAACUUAAGGUUUCAUCUUUUUAUUAUCGUUUUUUUCCUCAAGUUGAAUAUAGAGUUGUUGCAAAGGGAUUUGAGACAGAUAUGUUACGGUUUGAGAUUUGAGAUUUUGCUUUUUUCCUCAAGUUGAAUAUAGAGUUGUUGCAAAGGGAUUUGAGACAGAUAUGUUACGGUUUGAGAUUUGAGAUUUUGGUGUUUUUAGAUUUUAUUGAUCUAUUACCAAAAUAAUAAUCUGUUCAAUUUGUUUGGUUUCGAAUUGUGAUCCCUAUUUGCGAUCUUCUGUUCAAUCUGUUCAUAUGAAGUUUUAAUUUAAUAUCAAUUAGGAUUUUUGAAAUUUCGAUUAUGAAAUAAAAAUUCCAAUUGUUUUUAUUCAGCAGUUUGAUUAUGGAGAAUGGAAUGGAAACCCUAAUUUUAUAUUCGCCAUCAGAAACUGCACAGCAGGUGCAGAACAAAAACUCCAAUUUCGGCUCAGAAAAGCUACAGUUGGUCAACUUCUUCUCUGGCAUACACUUGGAUCAUGUCGGAAGUGAUGGUGCUCAGUUUUGAUUAUAAUGGGGUGUUCAGACCUAAGAAAUGUAUACACGUGUUACCGGAGAAGACGACACAAUGAGGCUGCAGCUGCAACCGCAGUGCAAAAAGGACCUCUUGCAGACACUACAACUCUUGAGACUAUCAACUGGAACAUACAGAUAUGAGUCCUAAAGACUGACGCAACAUUCUAUCAUGAACAUUCAGAAUUAAUCGAAGCUCCUUGAAAGUAAGGAUACCUGAUCCAAAAGAGAGAAUGGUGAGCUUCAGAUGAAGUAUCUCCAGUGAAAGUUAGCAUCGUGUUGCCAUCUAACGAAGUCCAAUUCCUCAUGGCACUCUCAUGCAUAAUUGAUGGCAUUUAGUUUGUGAUGUCAUCAGUGGCGCAAUAAGUGAUAACUGUUGUUAAUUUAUAUAUGUGGUAGUCAAAUGCCAAGAGUUUCCAUUUCAUAGUGGAAGAGCUAUCAUGGUGGCAACGCUUUAGUUAUGUUACUCUAGCUUUAUUUUCAGUUUCUUACUUAAUAAGCUGUAACUUUCUUUAUAGUUACGCUGUUGCAGGUAGUGCCUGUAUUAACUUUUAGGUUCCUGUCCUUUCUUUCAUUGAUAUCACUGAUUUUGUUGCUUUCUUGAAUUUCCAGGUUAUUCAUUUGUAUUCAACAAUUAAAAUAUGACAUAUUUUUAAAAAGCAGAAGGAUGAGUCAUGCUAUUAUCAUUUGGGGAAAGAGAUCCAACCUUAACAUUGAAGGGGAAACAAAGUAUCAGAAAAUAAGUAUAUCACGGUAGUAUGAAAGAGUGCUGCUGCUGCAAGCAAAUGAGACAUGAUUACAACUUAUUUCCAGUUCUUCCGGAGUAAGGAAUAUUCAGAAGUAGCUAAUUGCUUUGUUUUGGAAUUACUGUACACCUUCAAAUAAGAACUAAGGGAUGAUGAAAUUCCGACUAUAUUGUGUUAAGGUUCGAAUUAUAUUAACGGGGACCUAAUAUUCGAAUGUCAUAUCGACAAUCUAAUGUUCGAAUUGCUUCAGUGGUGGAGCAUCAACACUUGAUCUGUUAUUGCUCCGCAGUUAUCCCUUUAUUCCAAGUUUUUCAUGCAUCUUUUUCUUUUUUUGAUAACUUCCCAGCAAAAAUGAGAAUGGUCAAGGCAACCGAAGAAAAAUAACCCAUUAAUUUGCUUUUUUAGUGUUUUGUUUGUAGCAUGCUAGCACAUCUCCAUAAAAAGAAAUCUUUAUGCUAUGUUUCAGUUCAUUCAGUUUACCCUCUUCUGACCUUCAACUAUAAGGUCUCAUGUUAACUGUGACGUUGGUUGAUGGUGAUAAAGGGGAUUCUGAAUGAAUUGGAUGUUGAUUGAUGGUGAUUAAGGGUAAGAUGAAGGAAUUGGAAGAGGAUAUGAGUAAGGAGCUAUCUCUUAUUAUUCCAGAAUGCAAUUGACAUGAAUAUGUUAAAUUUGUCCCCUGCGGUUGAACAACAUUAUUCGUACACGUAAUUGGUCAUUGGAUGUGGUCAUGGACUAAUUAAGUUUCCUGGCUUAGGACGGUGUGCGAAAGAGUGUAGCUGAUAUUUGAAGUUCAUCAAAUGCAUUGGGACAGGGCGAGGCGAAGUCGAGCCACACCAAAUCAAAUCGGGAUGGGGCAAGGCAAGGCGAACCCGACCUUUACCAAAUCAAAUCGGGACGGGGCGAGGUGAAGCCGAGCUUUACCAAAUCAAAUCGGGACGAGGCGAGGCGAAACCGAGCCACACCUAAUUAAAAAUAUAUCGUGAUGGGCGG